UUUUUAUUUUUUAUAACGUAAAAUACAUUAUUUAAAUACAAUUACAUUCACACAGAUUAUAUUAUCUUUGGAUCUUAAGAAACAGAUUAAGUGACUCCCUCUGGAGAAGUGGAAUGGAAAAUAUGCUGAGACAAGUAGGAAAUUUAUUCUAUACUUUAUCCCAUUUUGUAUGGCUUUCAUCUUUACUAUUUAGGAUUAUCUAUUACAUUUCAAUUUUUCUUUAAAAAUUAGCAUUAUAUUAAAAUUGUGUAUAUUAUGCAACUAAAGUUUUUAAAGAAGAAAUCCUUAUAUACCAUUAAAUAUUUUAUAUAGCAUAAUAAAAAGAAUAACUUAACUGGUAAGAAUAACAAAAAUAAUACACCCUCUGAAAAUAAGUAAAAUAUAAAAUGCAUAAAUUGGUUAAAAAACAGUGUAACUAUAUAAAUAUGUUCUCACAAUUUGUUACAUCUUAUUGAUUCUUCAAUAUAGGCAUUACACCAUUCUAGGUGAUGUGAUAAACAAGACAUUAAGACCUUACAUUAUAUCAUGGAGAGAAAUGGUUAUUAAUAAUAUAAUUGUAGAAGUAUAUUAUUUAAUUGUACAGUUGUAUUAUUUAAUUAUAAUUAUCAUAAAUUCUUUGAUGGAGAGGAAAUCAGAAUCAGUUCUAAGAAGACUUCAGCAUUCCAAGAAUGAUGUCAAAUGACCCACUUCAUGAUGGGUUAUGUGCUUAUUUACUAUGAGAUAUAUUUCUUCUUCAGAGAUUCCUUGAUUGUGUAUCAAUUGUAGAUUUUUGGUUUGCAGUUAUUCUGAAGUUUUGAUAUGUCUGUAUGUAUAUGAGAUUGUUUUAAAUUGUUCUCUUAAUUGCAAGUUCAUCUCCAGUGUCCUGCAUUUGUACCCACCUCUUCUCAUUAUUUCUGAUUUGGGUGGUAUAAUUANCGAAUGAUUUCAUAUCUUUACUAGAUAUAUAUCUUUACUGGUGGGUCUUGUCAUUUGUGGAAAUUUUGUUUCCUGUUGCUGUCUAUUCUUUUCUGCCUAUAGAAGUUCCUUUAGUAUUUGUUGUAAGGCUGGUUUACUGUUGCUGAAUUCUCUCAACUUUGGCUUAUUUGUGAAGGUUUUGAUUUCUCCUUCAAAUCUGAAUGAGAGCCUUGUGGGUAGAGUAAUCUUGGUUGGAGGUUUUUUCCUUUCAUAAUGUUAAGUAUAUCAUGCCACUCCCUUCUGGCCUGCAGAGUAUCUGUUGAAAAAGCAGCCGAUAACCUUAUUGGGGUUCCCUUGUAUGUUGCUUGUUUCUUUUCCCUAGCUGCUUUCAAGAUUUUCUCUUUGUCUUUAAUUUUGGUCAGUUUGAUUAAUAUGCAUCUCAGUGUAUUCCUCCUUGGGUUUCUUUUAUAUUUUACUCAUUGUGCUUCCUGGAUUUGAGUGAGUGGUUCCUUUCCCAUGUUAGGGACGUUUUUGGCAAUUAUCUCUUGGAAUAUUUUUUCUGUCCCCUUCUCCCUCUCUUCUCCUUCUGGCACCCCUAUAAUAUGGAUGUUGGUGCGUUUAAUGUUGUCCCAGAAUUCUCUGAGACUCACUUCAUUUAUUUUCAAUCUUUUUUCUAUUUUCUGUUCUACAUCUGUAAUUUCUACUAAUCUGUCCUCCACCUCACUUAUUCGAUCUUCUGCCUCCUGUAUUCUUCCCUUAGCUGCUUCUGGUGAAUUUUUUAUUUCAGUUAUUGUAUUUUGCAUCUCUUCUGGUUUAAGUUUUAUAUCUUGUAUCUCUUUGCACAGUGUGUCCUGUAAGUUAUCCAUCUUUGCCUCCAGACUAUUUCCAAUGACUUGCAUCACCUUCAGCAUCAGCAAUCUAAAGUCUUUUUCCUGAAGGCUGAGAAUCUCCUCAUUGCUUAGCUGAUUUUCUGGGGUUUUUCCUUUCUCCCUCAUCUGAGUUAUAGUUCUCCGUCUUUUCAUUUUUAUAGGUUUUGGGUGUGGUGACGUUUUUACAGAUAAUAGAGUUGUGGCCUCUCUUACUUCUGAUGUCUGCCCCCCUUGUGGCUGAAGUCAGUAUUGGGGCUUUCUGUAGGCUUCCUGAUGGGAGGGUCUGAUGCCUGCCCCCCUGGUAGGUGGAGCAGAUUCUAAUCCCUCUGAUGGGUGGGGCUUAGUCUCUGGAUGGGAUUAGAGGCAGCUGUGUGCCUGAGGGGUCUUUAGGUAGCCUGUUUACUGAGAGGCAGCCUAUGAUUCCACCUGGAUUGUUGUUUUCCCUGGGGCUUCUCAGAGGCUGACUGAUGGGUGGGUCCAGAUUUUCCCAAAAUGGCCACCUCCAGAGAAAGGCAUGGUUGGGAAUAUUCCCAAGAAAUUUGGUUUCAAUACCCUUUCCUCACAACAAGCCAUAUUCACCCUGUCUUCCCAUGAUGUCCUCCAAGAACUUCAGUCAGGUUUGACCCAUUUACCUAUGGAGAUUUUUCUUUGCCCUGGAACCCAUGCACAGGAAUGUCUAUGUGCAGCUUUUAAGAAUUGGGUCUCCAUUUCCCCCCGGUCCUGUGGAGCUCCUGCACACAAGCCCCACUGGCCUUCAAUGCCAGAUGCUCCAGGGGCUCUUUCUCACCGUGCCUGAUCCCCACACAUGAGAGUUUGAGGUGUGGCUCAGAAUCCUCACUCCUGUAGGUGAGUCUCUCUGAAACAGUUUCCAGUCUGUGGAGCUUCCCACCUGGGAGGUAUGGAAUUGUUUAUAUCAGGAAAUCACCUCUCCUACCUCUUGAUGUGUCCUCCUGUUUUUCUUAUGUAAUAAAAUCUCUUUUUUAAGGUGUGAGAUCCAUUUGGGUGAAGAAUGCAUAGUCCUUAGUUGUGAAUUUUGUUCUUUUUAGGAGAGAAGUUGAGUUCCAGUCCUUCUAUUCCACCAUAUUAUUCCCAUCUCAGGGCUGGUAUGCUUUCAUGGAUUAUACUUGUAUGUGCAUGGAAGAAUGUUCCAGAUACUUGCAUUGUACCACUUGUGACACAGCUCUGAAGCGUUGAUUGCCCCAGAUUGCUCUGUGCUGCUUUUCAUGCCUUGUGAAAAGAAGGCAUUUUCAUGCCAAAUCAGACUUCUACACUACGAAAACACAUUUGGAGUGGGUUUCAAGCUAGGGAAACCUAUGGCACAGAAACAGUGCACUGGGAGUUUUGGGUAGCCCCUUGGCUCAAUCCCCUAUGACUGGGAGACACCUAAUUAGAAAAAAGGCAUGGGUGGCUUACCUGAGAAAAUCAGAAUUGUGGCUGGUCUGCAUUCACUGAGUAGACUUUGAUUGACUGGAAGAAGCUCCUAGAUGCUUGUUUAGUGCAGUUUGAGACACUGCUCUCAAGCCUUGAUCCCCCUAGCUUGCUCUGGGCUACUUUGCCUGGCUUGUGAAAAGAACACAUUUUCAGGCAUAAUCAGACUUCUCCUCUCAGAAGAACAUGUUUGGAGUGGGUUUCAAGCUAGGGAAACCAUCUAUACUGAAGCAGUGCACAGGGAGCUUUGGACAGACCCUUGGCUCUCUUGCCCUAGGUCUGGGAGAUGCCUAGUUGGGAAAAAUGCAAGGGUGGCUUCCAUGUGCAAAGAGGAAUUGGGGUGGUCUUAGGUCACUGAGUAUUCUCCUCUCAGGACAACAUCUUUUGUGUCACUUUCAAGCUAGGGAAUCCUGCUUCACACGACCAGUGCACAGGGUGCAUUGCGGAGCCCUUUGGCUCAUUUGCACUAGUCAGGGAGAGUCCUAGGUAGAAAAAAGACCAGAGUGGCUUCCCAGAAUAAACUUGCAUUUGGUCUUGUCUGUGUUCACUGAGUAGAUUUGCCUGGUGUGUAAGAAAACCCAGAUGUUUGUUUUGUACAGUUUGUAAUACGGCUCUCAUACCUAAUUGCCCCAGCUUGCUCUGUGUUGCUUUGCCCGGCUUGUGAAAAGAAGGCUUUUAAAGGCCAAAUCAGACUUCUAAUCUCAGAAGAACAAGUUCAAGCUAGGAAAAAGUGCUGCACACAGCCAGUGCACAGGGAGCAUUGGGGAGUGCCUUGACCAUUUCCCCUGGUCAGGUAGAGGCUUAGGUAGUAAAAAAGGACAGGGUGUCUUCCCUGAGAAAACCUGCAUUGAGUCUUGUCUGCAUUCACAGAGUAGAUUUGCUUUGUUUGGAAGAACUCCCAUAUGCUUGUUUUGUGCAGUUUGUUACACUGCUCUCAAGCCUUGAUUGCCCCAUCUGGCUCUGUGCUGCUUUGCCCACCUUGUGAAAAGAAGGUAUUUUCAGGCCAAAUGAGACUUCUCUCAGCUGAACACAUUUGUAGUGGGUUUCAACAAGGGAAACCAGCAGCACACAACCCAUGCACAGGAAGCAAUGGGCAGACCCAUGGCACAUUUGCCCUAUAUCUGGGGGAAUCCAAGGAUGGAUAAGAAAAGGGUGGAUUCCCUGAGCAAAAACACAUUGGGCCUUAUCUUUUUAUAUGGAGUAGAAUUUCUAUUGCAUGAGGAUGCUCCCAGAUACUUGUUUUGUGCAGUUUCUGACACUGGUCUCAAGCUUUGAUCACCCCACUUCAAUCUAUGAUGCUUUGACCAGCUAGUGAAAAGAAGGCAUUUUCAGGCUAAAUAAGAUUUCUCCUCUCAGGAGCAGAGGUAUGGAGUGUGUUUCAAGCAUGGGAAUCAAGGCAUGCACAGGCAGUGCACAAAGAGCAUUUGGCAGCUGCCUUGGCUAUUUUGCCCUAGGUCUGGGAAAAGCCUAUGUGGGAAAAGGGCAGUGGUGUCUUCACAGAGAAAACCUGCAUUAGGGCUUGUCUGUGUUCACUGAGUAGACACUGCUUUGCAUGGAGGAAAUGCCCAGAUUCUGGUUGUUUGCAGUUUGUGACACAGCUCUCAAGGCUUGAUUGCCCUAGCAUGCUUAGUGCUGCUUUGCCCAUCUGAUGAAAAGAAGACAUUUUCAGGCCAAAUCCGACUUCUCCUCUCAGGAGAACAUGUUUGGAGUGUGUUUCAAGCAUGGGAAUCAGGGUGCACACCACCAGUGCCCAGGGAUCUUUGGGCAACCCCUUGGCUCAUUCGCCAUUUUUGUGGGAGGGUCCUAGGUGGGAAAAGGGCAAGGGUGCCAUCCUGGGGCAGUGCCACCCUUUGGCUGGUCUGUGUUCACUGAGUAGACUUUGCUUUGUGUGGAGGAAGCUCCCAUAUGCUUGUUUUGUGCCCUGGGUGACACUGCAUUGAAGCCAGGGUCCCCCUACCUUGCUCUGUGUGGCUUUGCCUGGCUUGUGAAGAGAAGGCAUUUUCCGGCACAAUCAGACGUUUCCUCUCAGGAGGACAGGUUUGCAGUGUGUGUCAAGCAAGGGAAACCAGCUGUGCACACCCAGCACACAGAGAGCAUUGGGCAUCUGCUUGGCUCAUUCGCCCUAGGUCUUGCAGAGGCCUAACUUCCAAAAAGGCAAAGGUGGCUUCCCCGAUAUAAUCAGCAUUGGGUCUUGUUUGCUUUUCUGGAGUAGACUUUCUUUGGCAUGGAGGAAGGUCCCAGAGGCUUGCUUUGUGCACUCGGUGACCCUGGUUUCUAGUGUAGACCCCUCCCAAGGAUGCUCAGUGCUGCUUUGCCCACCAUGGGAAAAGAAGGCAUUUGCAGGCCAAAAGAGACUUCUCCUCUCAGGAGAACACGGUUCAUGUGUGUUUCAAGCAAGGAAACACAGCAGUACACAACCCAAGCACAGGGAGCCUUGGGCAGCUCCUUGGCUCUUUCGCCCUAAUUCUGGGGCAUGCCUAACUAGGAAAAAUGCAAUGCUGUCUUUCCGGAGGAAACCACCAUUGGGUCUUGUCUGCCUUGAUUGAGUAGACUUUCAUUGGCAUGCAGGAAGCUCCCAGAGGCUUGUUUGCCGUGUGUGACGCUGUUCUCAAGCCUAGAUCUCCCCAACUCACUCUCUGCAGCUUUUGCCCAGCUUGUGCAGAGACGUCAUUCUCGAACCAAAUCAGACCUCGCCUCUCAGGAAGAACACAUUUGGAUUGAGUUUCAAGCUACGGAAAGCCCCUGCACAGGACCUGUGCACAGGGAGCUUUGGAAAGUCCCUUGGCACAUUUGCCCUAGGUCUGGGAUAGCCCUAGGUGGGAAAAAGGCAAGGGUGGCCUCCCAGAGAAUGCAGCAUUGGGUACUGUCUGCUCUUAUGGAUUACCCUAUCCUUUGCAUGGAGCAAGUUCCAAGAUGCUUGUUUUUUGCAGUUUGUGACACUGCACUCAAGACUUGAUCCCCCAGCUCUCUGUGUGCUGUUUUGCCCAGCUUGUGAAUACAAGGCAUUGUCAGCCCAAAUCACACUUCUCUUCUCAGGAGAACAGGUUUGGAGUGAGUUUCAAAGAAGGGAAACUAGAUGCACAAAACCAGUGCACAAGGAGCAUUGGCCAGCCCCUUGGUUUACUCACCCUAUAUCUGGGAGAAGCCUAUGGGGGAAAAAUAAAUGGGUGGCUUCCCAGAGAAAACCUGAUUUGGGAUUGGGUGACCUGAUUUGGGUGUUUAUGGUGUAGACUUUUCUUUGCCUGGAUGAAGCACCCAGAUGCUUGUGUAGUGCAGUUUGUGACACUGCUCUCAAGCCUUACUUCCCCUAGCUUGCUCUGUGCUGCCUUGCCUGGCUUGUGGAAAGAAGGCAUUUUCAGGCCAAAUCAGACAUCUCCUCUCAGGAGAACAUGUUUGGAGUGGGUUUCAAACUAGG
RNAcentral lists this long non-coding RNA (6606 nucleotides) under Sus scrofa (pig). Its description in RNAcentral is "lncRNA (ENSSSCG00065064680.1)". The record is from RNAcentral. Lineage: Eukaryota; Metazoa; Chordata; Mammalia; Artiodactyla; Suidae.